CCUGAAGAUUUAAUGUUUUUCUGGAUUUACUGUAAUUGGAAAAAAACUGAAAACUUUGGGUUUCCACUGUUUGUCAAAAAAACAAGACACCUGCGCCAUCACCCUGUCAUGAUCUGUAUCAUGGCAGCCUUCCAGCUUUUCCCUGGUUGUUUGUCGUUGUGUCUGUCAGCUCCUCUUGUCUCCUCCCCUGUCUGUGUUCCCGGUGCAUGGGCGUGGCUUCUCUCUUCCCCUGGCAGGCAGCGCCAGGUGAAACCACUCCACUAAUCAACCUUCUCCAUAAAGUCCCUGGAUCUCCAGCCACUCAUCGCCAGAUCAUACUCUCAGCCUGAGAGUUGAGUCACCGUUGCCUGCCUGCCUGCCUGCCUACUCUUCGGUGUUCCAGUUACCUGCUCUCCUGCCGGCUUGCCUGAAUCAGACGCGACCGGCCACCGUGCCCAACCGCCAUCUUGGGAAGCGCUCAGCAAGAGGAACACUGGCUGCGAGCACACGGCGCUGCCAUUACUGGAGAAAACACCAAACAAAGAGCACCCUCACGUGUGGGGUGCUGGUGGUGCCACCACCAGCACCCCACACGUGACCCCCGGACACCUCCCCCAGCACGUCACCUUUCCCCACCUGCAUCUUGGAGAUUUCACUGUGUCACAAAUAAAUAUAUGCCAUGACUGACUGACAGGCAACAAAAACUCUAAACUACAGGCAAGUCAGUAGUUUUGCACAUUUGAGUAAACUGUAUACUGACAUCUCAUUCUCCAGGCUCUCUGUCACCAGAACAGAUAUCUGUAAAUCAGCAAGGGUGCAAUUCACAUUUACUUUCCAAAGCGAAGAUGACAGUAUCUCCAGGUCCAUCAAGACGAUGGCAAAGCAGCAGAUGGAAUUAAUUCCUAUAAAUAGGUGUUUCAUUCUGGGUUGGUAGACAGUCCAAACAUGCACCAGCCUUAGCCAUUACCACUCUGUAUCUCAAUACAAACGUAGCAUAUGGAUGAAAAAUUGCAUUUUUUUUUUUUCUCCUCCAGAAGUAUUCUUUCAGCUCAGUAUAAUUAUUGAGUUUCUUGUCUAAACGGCAACUUUGAGUGUUUAAUUAGUUCAUAAAGUCUUGUAGGGUGUGCCAGCCCAGAAGCAGGGUCCCCACGGCAGACUAACAACAGUCUGCUCAUUAGAAGAAGCCAUUGGUCUGUGUCUGUUGCUCUGCAUGGUCUGCUUUCAAAGUCUCUGGUGCUUAGAGGAAGCUACAGACGCACUGAGGAACACACAGGCAUAAUAACUUGCUCAGUGCUUCAAGGAGGAACAGUUACAUUACUAUCACCAGUGUCUUAGGUGAGAGGUACAUUAUAACAAAGUGGUGUGUCAUCUUCUUGCCAUGCGAGGCUGUGGAGUCUCUGAUAAUUGCAUGAUGGGGGAGUGAAAGAGAAGAGAAGAGGAGCGAGAAGUAGUGACUGGAUCUCCUUUUAGACCGGAUGUUUGGCAGGUGUGACACACUGCAGCAGCACUGAACCAGCUGGCAUCCACAGACAGACAGACAGACCGGAAGAGAGACGGAGAGUGAAAGGAAGAUAAGGGGAAGGAAAAGGCAAGCCUGCAAGGAGAUGAAUGAAGGGGUAGAGAAGGAAUGAGACAAGAUUAAGAUGAGUACAAAGGGUGAAAAUGGAGCGAGACAACAACUCUUUGCACAGACUUAGAAGGUUUCAGAAAUGUAAUAUGUUGCUCAGAUUGACAAUGCAAAACCUCACCAUCAUAUCUCCUCCAUGGCAAGGGGAUGUUACUGUGUGUGUGUGUGUGUGUGUGUGUGUGUGUGUGUGUGUGUGUGUGUGUGUGUGUGUGUGUGUGUGUGAAAUUUAGUCGUCAUAGAGCCAGUGGUGCUAUAUUACUGGCACCUAUUAAAUUGUUGCUUUUCCUAAUUAGCGUCAAUGUGAACUCGGUGGCUCAGCGGCCCAAAAUCUGUGUCACUUUUAUAAUCCUCCCUGCAGAAGAAUUUAAAAUGGAGGUAACUGCCUUUAGGCUGCACCACGGCUGGAUCAUUUCCAGGCCACAUUAAAUGAUAGGAUCUGUAAUAAGACCGAAAUGUAGCUUAGUUGAUUGAGUCAGGUGAAGGAGAGUGCUCUUGUUAUAUAAAUCCUAAUGUGAAAAUGAUGGAAGAAAAAUGAAGUCAGAUAGUGAUCAAAUGAUUUAUAACACAAGGAGCUACAUGUGUGAGUUACAUAACUAAAAAUAUAUUGAUGAAUUUAUACAAUUAUGUAAUUAGCUAAAUACUUCAAGGGGUGCAAAUGCAAAUUGAUUACAGUGACUCAUGGCUGUGAAGCAGGUGCACACAAGCAGAGGCAGGAUUAUCAGAUUGAAUCAUACCCAGAACUUGAAACUAAUUAAAACAUUCUUAGAUACAAGCUUUAUCUCUCAGCCUUCACGAACAAGUUUUGUGUGUAUUUAGAGGAGAUUUUGCUAAUAAAAAAAGAACUUUUAGGAAAAGACUGAAAGGAUUAUUUGCAGGGAAAAAAAAGGUUGCUAUGGCAUUCCUUGAGAGCAGGGCAGUGUGCUUGCUUGCAGUUUGCUUAUUCCCUCGACCUAACUGAGCAGGUGUUUGCCAAGCUCCUGGGGGAUUCUGUGUGUGUAUGUGUGUGUCUCUGUGUCUGUGAUGGAGAAAAAGAGAAAGGAAGGAGAGCAGUUCUAGUGGGGCAGGAUUUGCUGAAUGGACAGACUGACAGCCAGAGAUGUCCUCUGUGAGCCUGCAUGUGGCUUCACCACAGGGUGGCCUGGCAUACUUGGGCUUUGCACCUUAGCUGGUUUAUAAAUCCUAAAAAAAGGUCUCCACAACAUAUUCACUUGU
This is a long non-coding RNA of Acanthopagrus latus (yellowfin seabream), 2818 nucleotides long. RefSeq lists it as uncharacterized. The record is from RefSeq and is a predicted model, not a curated record. Lineage: Eukaryota; Metazoa; Chordata; Actinopteri; Spariformes; Sparidae. The transcript is spliced from 4 exons.